This is a long non-coding RNA of Oncorhynchus keta (chum salmon), 1420 nucleotides long. RefSeq lists it as uncharacterized. Lineage: Eukaryota; Metazoa; Chordata; Actinopteri; Salmoniformes; Salmonidae. The transcript is spliced from 9 exons. The record is from RefSeq and is a predicted model, not a curated record.
ACCACUCCAUUACAGACAUUAUGAGCUGUCCUCCCCUCAGCAGCCUCCACUGCUACGGACGUGUGUGUGCAUCAAAUAACUGCUUUCAUGCAAAAGAGAGUGGGGUGUGACAGGUCUGGUGUCGUGGUAAAGGGGUGUGUGACAGGUCUGGUGUCGUGUGACAGGUCUGGUGUCGUGGUAAAGGGGUGUGUGACAGGUCUGGUGUCGUGUGACAGGUCUGGUGUCGUGGUAAAGGGGUGUGUGACAGGUCUGGUGUCGUGUGACAGGUCUGGUGUCGUGGUAAAGGGGUGUGUGACAGGUCUGGUGUCGUGGUAAAAGGGUGUGUGACAGUUCUGGUGUCGUGUGACAGGUCUGGUGUCGUGGUAAAGGGGUAUGUGACAGGUCUGGUGUCGUGUGACUGGUCUGGUGUCGUGGUAAAGGGGUGUGUGACAGGUCUGGUGUUGUGUGACAGGUCUGGUGUCGUGGUAAAGGGGUGUGUGACAGGUCUGGUGGCGUGUGACAGGUCUGGUGGCGUGUGACAGGUCUGGUGGCGUGUGACAGGUCUGGUGGCGUGUGACUGGUCUGGUGGCGUGUGACUGGUCUGGUGGCGUGUGACUGGUCUGGUGGCGUGUGACUGGUCUGGUGGCGUGUGACUGGUCUGGUGUCGUGGUAAAGGGGUGUGUGACUGGUCUGGUGGCGUGUGACUGGUCUGGUGUUGUGACAGGUCUGGUGGCGUGUGACAGGUCUGGUGGCGUGUGACAGGUCUGGUGGCGUGUGACUGGUCUGGUGGCGUGUGACAGGUCUGGUGGCGUGUGACUGGUCUGGUGGCGUGUGACUGGUCUGGUGGCGUGUGACUGGUCUGGUGGCGUGUGACUGGUCUGGUGGCGUGUGACUGGUCUGGUGGCGUGUGACAGGUCUGGUGGCGUGUGACAGGUCUGGUGGCGUGUGACAGGUCUGGUGGCGUGUGACUGGUCUGGUGGCGUGUGACAGGUCUGGUGGCGUGUGACAGGUCUGGUGGCGUGUGACAGGUCUGGUGGCGUGUGACAGGUCUGGUGGCGUGUGACUGGUCUGGUGGCGUGUGACUGGUCUGGUGGCGUGUGACUGGUCUGGUGGCGUGUGACAGGUCUGGUGGCGUGUGACAGGUCUGGUGGCGUGUGACAGGUCUGGUGGCGUGUGACUGGUCUGGUGGCGUGUGACUGGUCUGGUGGCGUGUGACUGGUCUGGUGGCGUGGUAAAGGGGUGUGUGACUGGUCUGGUGGCGUGUGACUGGUCUGGUGGCGUGUGACUGGUCUGGUGUCGUGGUAAAGGGGUGUGUGACAGGUCUGGUGUCGUGUGACAGGUCUGGUGUCGUGAUGUGACAGGUCUGGUGUCGUGGUAAAGGGGUGUGUGACAGGUCUGGUGUCGUGGUAAAGGGGUGUGUGACAGGUCUGGUGUCGUGGUA